UACAGAGGGUGCAAGCGUUAAUCGGAAUUACUGGGCGUAAAGCGUGCGCAGGCGGUUGUGCAAGACCGAUGUGAAAUCCCCGGGCUUAACCUGGGAAUGGCAUUGGUGACUGCACGGCUAGAGUGUGUCAGAGGGGGGUAGAAUUCCACGUGUAGCAGUGAAAUGCGUAGAGAUGUGGAGGAACACCGAUGGCGAAGGCAGCCCCCUGGGUCAAGAUUGACGCUCAUGCACGAAAGCGUGGGGAGCAAACAGG
RNAcentral lists this ribosomal RNA (253 nucleotides) under uncultured bacterium. RNAcentral describes it as "partial 16S ribosomal RNA". It matches the Rfam family "Bacterial small subunit ribosomal RNA", at positions 524 to 776 of the family's 1533-position model. The record is from RNAcentral.